AUGCCGGCGGUGUGCGCCGUGCUCAUCCUGCUGCUGCUGCUGUCUGCUGCCUCACGUUGCGAGGCUGACCUCCUGCAGGUGACGGUGGCUGGCCGGAGAAUGCUGGCCGGUGGGAGCAAUGUCGCCGCCGUCUUCUCGAGGGAGGCGGCGACGACCGUGGCGAGUAGCGCACGGCAGUCAGCAGCUGGAAGAGCGGCCAUGCCUUACUCAGAGUCCAAGAGGUCCAGCCCCGGCGGCCCGGACCCUCAGCACCACUAA
Molecule: ribosomal RNA, 258 nt
Filed under: Triticum aestivum (bread wheat)
Lineage: Eukaryota; Viridiplantae; Streptophyta; Magnoliopsida; Poales; Poaceae
Description: partial small subunit ribosomal RNA
Source: RNAcentral